ACUGAACUUGACAAACCUGCUCUUUCGCACACGCGUCGUCUGUUUUUAGACUGAAGCUUGGGUACAUUUAAUACAAACGUCUGGGAAGUGGAAUUAACAUGGCAUGCGUCCGUGUGUUUAUUCGCCCGAACGGACCUUCUCAUAUAUGAAAAGGCGAGAGAGCCUACGGCUGUCACAUACUGUAUACAGUACAAGUGUGACAUCUCAGAACACCUUCCGGUAAUCUUUCAGGUAGUAGAACAGUUGCAUAAUUCAAUCUAAAAUGUGACCGCCCAUUACUGUUAGCUAAUGGUAUUUUGCAAUAAUCUUAAAAGAACAUUUACAAAAGCCUGAUAUAUACAUCUUGUCACCAACCACAUUUCAGACUAGACCAGUAAUAUACUUCAAACUGACAUUUUUCUUGUCCCCCAAAAAACCUGUAAAUACUUUUUAAAUGAUUUUACUACAAAUGUAUGUUCUUACUGUAAGAUGUUUGACCUUGUGAGUAUUAAAAUUUACAUUAAAUCCUUGUAAUUUGGAUUC
This is a non-coding RNA of Danio rerio (zebrafish), 522 nucleotides long. NCBI's taxonomy places the organism in Eukaryota, Metazoa, Chordata, Actinopteri, Cypriniformes, Danionidae. The record is from Ensembl.